UGGGGAAUUUUGGACAAUGGGCGAAAGCCUGAUCCAGCAAUGCCGCGUGUGUGAAGAAGGCCUUCGGGUUGUAAAGCACUUUUGUCCGGAAAGAAAUCCUUGGCUCUAAUACAGUCGGGGGAUGACGGUACCGGAAGAAUAAGCACCGGCUAACUACGUGCCAGCAGCCGCGGUAAUACGUAGGGUGCAAGCGUUAAUCGGAAUUACUGGGCGUAAAGCGUGCGCAGGCGGUUUGCUAAGACCGAUGUGAAAUCCCCGGGCUCAACCUGGGAACUGCAUUGGUGACUGGCAGGCUAGAGUAUGGCAGAUGGGGGGUAGAAUUCCCACGUGUAGCAGUGAAAUGCGUAGAGAUGUGGAGGAAUACCGAUGGCGAAGGCAGCCCCCUGGGCCAAUACUGACGCUCAUGCACGAAAGCGUGGGGAGCAAACAGGAUUAGAUACCCUGGUAGUCCACGCCCUAAACGAUGUCAACUAGUUGUUGGGGAUUCAUUUCCUAGUAACGUAGCUAACGCGUGAAGUUGACCGCCUGGGGAGUACGGUCGCAAGAUUAAAACUUAAAGGAAUUGACGGGGUCAUAGCUGUUUCCU
This 586-nucleotide ribosomal RNA is filed under the name uncultured bacterium. Its description in RNAcentral is "partial 16S ribosomal RNA". It matches the Rfam family "Bacterial small subunit ribosomal RNA", at positions 355 to 1375 of the family's 1533-position model. The record is from RNAcentral.